AUUGUAGAAGAAAAGUUAAAUUUAAUGUAACCAGAUAUAACAUUACGAAUCUCUGUCAGUCAGGUCUUUUUUUUCGAAAAUCAAAAUCUUUUUUCCUGUUCUUUAUUCAUUGUAGCAAAUUAAGUAAACACAAGGUGGCACUUUUAUGAUAGAUAAUUUGAACGUUUAUUUUACAUAUGACUGGUAUCCUAAUAAAAUUAAGAGGAAUACAGUCAUAAAAAAAUACACAAGAAGAAGCGCCACCUUCUGUUUAUUAAUGUUGUUAGAUAUUGUUAUGUUUAUGUCUUGUUUAUAUGUUAGCUAAUGUCUGUGAUAAUUGGGGUGUUUAUUCACAGGAUCAGGAUUUUUAUAGCUGAUUGCUUGAAAUAGAUUCUGUUGUAGAAAAUAAAAUUGAAAAC
This 398-nucleotide long non-coding RNA is filed under the name Mytilus galloprovincialis (Mediterranean mussel). Lineage: Eukaryota; Metazoa; Mollusca; Bivalvia; Mytilida; Mytilidae. The record is from RNAcentral.